GCCAGUGUGGUGUGGUGGUAUGAGCACUGGACUAUGACUCUGGAAACCAGAGUUCGAUUCCCAGCUCAGCCA
Non-coding RNA from Phrynosoma platyrhinos (Desert horned lizard), 72 nucleotides. The record is from the annotation of a GenBank genome assembly. Lineage: Eukaryota; Metazoa; Chordata; Lepidosauria; Squamata; Phrynosomatidae.